RNAcentral lists this ribosomal RNA (393 nucleotides) under uncultured bacterium. RNAcentral describes it as "bacterial SSU rRNA". It matches the Rfam family "Bacterial small subunit ribosomal RNA", at positions 29 to 416 of the family's 1533-position model. The record is from RNAcentral.
AACGAACGCUGGCGGCGUGCUUAACACAUGCAAGUCGAACGCGAAAGUUUUCUUCGGAAGACGAGUAGAGUGGCGCACGGGUGAGUAACGCGUAAGUAAUCUGCCCUGGUAUCUGGGAUAACCCACCGAAAGGUGUGCUAAUACCGGAUACGCUGAGCAACCAGGAAAGGUGGCCUCUUCAUGAAAGCUACUGUACCAGGAGGAGCUUGCGUACCAUUAGCUAGUUGGUAGGGUAAUCGGCCUACCAAGGCAACGAUGGUUAGCGGGUCUGAGAGGAUGAUCCGCCACACUGGAACUGAAACACGGACCAGACUCCUACGGGAGGCAGCAGUGAGGAAUAUUGCGCAAUGGGGGAAACCCUGACGCAGCGACGCCGCGUGGAUGAUGAAGGCC